This 482-nucleotide ribosomal RNA is filed under the name uncultured bacterium. RNAcentral describes it as "partial 16S ribosomal RNA". It matches the Rfam family "Bacterial small subunit ribosomal RNA", at positions 28 to 507 of the family's 1533-position model. The record is from RNAcentral.
GACGAACGCUGGCGGCGCGCUUAACACAUGCAAGUCGAGCGAUGAAAUCUUAACAGAUCCCUUCGGGGUGAAGAUAAGACGGAUUAGCGGCGGACGGGUGAGUAACACGUGAGUAACCUGCCUUUUACACAGGGAUAGCCUCAGGAAACCGGGAUUAAAACCUGAUGAAACUAUCAAAUCACAUGAUUAAGAAAGUUAAAACUCCGGUGGUAAAAGAUGGACUCGCGUCCCAUUAGCUAGUUGGUGAAGGUAACGGCCCACCAAGGCAACGAUGGGUAGCCGGCCUGAGAGGGUGAACGGCCACAUUGGAACUGAGAAACGGUCCAAACUCCUACGGGAGGCAGCAGUGGGGAAUAUUGCACAAUGGGGGAAACCCUGAGGCAGCGACGCCGCGUGAGAGAAGAAGGCCUUCGGGUCGUAAAGCUCUUUUAUAUGGGAAGAUAAUGACGGUACCAUAAGAAAAAGCCCCGGCUAACUACGUG